Cyprinus carpio carpio is the source of this 771-nucleotide long non-coding RNA. The record is from Ensembl. Lineage: Eukaryota; Metazoa; Chordata; Actinopteri; Cypriniformes; Cyprinidae.
CUUGGUUUGUUCUAAUGGGUGGAUUGUGUGCAAUCGCUGUAAUAUUUUAUUUUUAUAAGGUCUUAAACAAGAAUAAAUUCGUUUCUUGUGAGCUCGUAGUGCGAGUGCAGGAGAAGCCGCGCCGUCUCGCGCUGUCAAAAGAGCUGACGCAAAUCGUUCAUUUUCAAACUUCAACAGCUGAAAAACACCCACUUUUAGCUCUUGGUUUGUUCUAAUGGGUGGAUUGUGUGCAAUCGCUGUAAUAUUUUAUUUUUAUAAGGUCUUAAACAAGAAUAAAUUCGUUUCUUGCGAGCUCGUUGUGUCAUUGCACGAGAAGCCGCGCCGUCUCGCGCUGUCAAAAGAGCUGACGCAAAUCGUUCAUUUUCAAACUUCAACCAUUCAAAAACACCCUCUUUUAGCUCUUGGUUUGUUCUAAUGGGUGGAUUGUGUGCAAUCGCUGUAAUAUUUUAUUUUUAAAAGGUCUUGAACAAGAAUAAAUUCGUUUGUUGUGAGCCCGUUGUAAGACCACUCGCUGAACGGAGCGGUGAAUUCUCUCUCGUCUUUCUCUCUCUUCUGUGGCCAGAUAUACAUUUUUAAUAAGCCCUGACCCCUGUAAUAUUCAAAUAUGUUGGUUUAGCUUGUCAGAGUGAAAUAAAUUCAUGUAUUUAUAUGUAUUUUUAACCGAUUUAAAAGUGAAACUAAGGCAGACUCCUCCCUCAGUCCCGGGAAUUGCUCCUGUAGAGGCGCAAUUUUUCUCAGAUAAUGGGAGUCUAUGGGAGAUUUCUGACUUUU